Long non-coding RNA from Ooceraea biroi (clonal raider ant), 4580 nucleotides. RefSeq lists it as uncharacterized. NCBI's taxonomy places the organism in Eukaryota, Metazoa, Arthropoda, Insecta, Hymenoptera, Formicidae. The record is from RefSeq and is a predicted model, not a curated record.
UCUAUUAUUCAGGAUGUACAAUGGACGCUGGUUUAACGUAAUACAGUCUGUCAACAGAUUAUCUAGUAUAGGUACCUCUUUAGACAUGAUUCUACCGGCUCAACGCGUUCUCAUGAGUCUUCUUCGUUCCGUUUCUCUGAAUGCAUUAUUUUUUCAGACGAUGAUGAUAGUAUAAGGAAUAGACACUAAGAGUCUCGAAUAUACAAGAAACUGCAGCUGGGGACUUACAGCUGGGUGCUUACGUACUCUCAUAUUGUUCAACUUAAUUUCACCGUAGCUUUUGAAAGAUUAUCUUGCACAUUUUCUUAUCAGGAAACAAAGAUUCACGGUUCACGUGCCUCUUCGACUCGCUUGUUUGAUUCAUUUUGAUAUUGAGCACAAUCAUCACAUCCGAUAACUCAAGUUCAUAUCAAGUUAGUCAGCUUCUUCAAGCUGUUAAAGUUAGAAGUAAAAAAACUUUUGAUAACAAAAAUUUUCUCUUAUCUUACUAAUCUCAUCUACGACACUCGACACUUUGAUGUAAGUUGACUUACUUUAAUUUGAGAUGGCAAGUAUUUUAAUUUGAGAUGGCGAAAUUUGUGUAAAUAAUUCAUCACUUUAAGCAUACUACAAUAAUUUAAAGUCUGCCUUUGCUUUCGGGAUCGGGAUAAUGAUAGUACCACCUUACAUUUAGUCGAUUUGUACACAUAAGUACUAUAACAUGAUCAUAAAGCGAUAAAGAUACAACAAGCUCGGCGCUCGUAUAAUCAGUUUUGACUUCCGUUCCACGUGCAUCCAACGUGUCGUUGAUUUAAUUCUUCCAGGUAUCGAACUUCGCAUUACUUAUAAAGCUGAUUAAUUUACUCGUUGUUUGUAUAUAUUACACAUACAUGUUUGGUAAGAUCAUACAUUUGUACACCUGUCUUUGUUUAGUUUUCGAAAGAAAAGUAGAUACUACGAAUCAAGUUUUUUAAAGUUAAAUGUUAAUUAAGUAUUCGCUCAUACAAUAUCAUAUUUAACGACAAAUUAUUAAUAAAUUAUUAAUGAAUCAACGAGUAUCUCUUUUUUAGUAUAAUAUAAUGAGAGAUAUUUAAUAUUAUAUGUUAAAAAAAAACAAGUUAUUUUCUUUCUAAAUGUCUCACCUACUUGCGAAAUAUGUUUGAACGAAAUAAACAUGUUUGAACAAAGAAAUCAAGAGGCACGUAUCUUAAACGAAGCAGGUAAUUGUCGCGUAGCCAGACGAAAGAUACGCGAAAAUUGCGCUUCACUAUUUUGCGAGAAUAAGAGACAAUUGGUCUGCAAAUCGAUGUGGAAUUUAUUGAAGUAUUUUAAUGAAAAUAAUGCAGUGUUCUAGGUUUAGCGGAUUGCAUUUUUCACAAUCUCCGUAAAAUAUUAUAAAUAACAAAAAUCAUCGUGUUAGACUACGGCUACAAGACUAAUUAAAUACACGAACAUCGGUUUAUUUGCCGAGACUGAUGCGAACCGCAGAGCUAAGAAAUGUUUUGCGCUUUAGUGCGCACUCAUGUGUAUACAACAAAUCGAUCUUGUUAGCCGCUCACAUUGGCAGCUCGCGUGAUUAGUUAGUGAUUGGCACGUGAGACGAGCCUCCCGACGUUUCCUUAUCAGCGCUUAUUCAUGAGAUCACUAUUGACGUCGACAAAUAUAGGCAAUACGUCGCAUGAGAAUCACACGUGCUCAGGAUUACUCGUAUCAUGACCGCGAAUCCAUGGAACGCUAUUUGAUAACCCGUUUUAUUGUCGUACUUUAAUGAUCUGCGAAACAUAACUCUGGAUUGUCGCUUAUGAAUAUCUCGCUGGCAGAUGAGAUGAUUCGCGAGGCUAUAUGUAAACAUCCUUUGAUCGCAAACUUCCUUCUUUAUCGAGUGAUAAUUUUAUCGUCGUCUUAUAUCUUAUAUACGUGGAAUUAUAAUGUUUUCAAUCUUGGAGCGUUUUAGUCGCUGAUAUUUUGGUACAUGUAUAAAGUUUAAGUUUAUAUGUGAGAGUAUCUUUUGUGGCAGUGUCAUUUAAAAAACUUGAAAAUUAUAUCGCAAACUCUGCAAUCAUGAUGAGAAUUUUAUCAGGGGGAUUUCCGAGCCAGAUAUUUAUCUAUUGAAUCGAGAUAUUCGCCACAUUGAAAAUUUCGAACUUUGAACUGUAAGAAAUCCUAUCGCUAUUCAAUAAGCCUACGUGGUUAAUUAAUUAAAUUAACCGGUUGUCUCUUGUGCGAUCAUAUCAACCACUGCUCCUACUCUGAAAAGAUUCACAAGAAAGUCCACGCCGCGCCGGAAGGAAAUGUUCCGCCAUGUGCGUAGCAAGCUGAUAAAACGGUUCCUCGCGUAUUAACAGAAAAAAAAGAACAGGAAUGCGUCGUGAUGCUACACUUUCUCGUCGGCGACCCGAUAUAAGAGCGCUUUCGCCGCGGAAACUUUUUACGGCGCAGUAAAAAUUUCCGCAAACCACACCGAGGCCAUGAAGAUUUCCACAAAACACGCCAAGAUCGUCGUAAAUGCAUGUAAUUGAUAGUAUGAGUAAUCUGAUAAAAUCACGCGGCGUCGCGGCCGGCUUUAUUGCAUGAAUAAAAAACGAUUGUAAUGUUGGCGAAAAUAUAAUAACGUGGUUUUCGUUGACAAUUUUGAAGAUGUGUCAUUGUAUCGUGAAAUAUGAUUUUCAUAUAUUCACAAUUUGCGUAAAGUUUCAAUUUGGUUAAGCUUGUUUCAGUAAUCACAUGUUAAUAAGAAUAAUAAUAAGCACAUAUUUAUAAAAAUUAUAAAUUGAAAAUGAGGUAUUGUGUCCGUCACGCGGAAUAAGAAAGUACAGCAUUUAGACGACACAAAGUUCUGCCACAAAGAAAGCGUCAUUAUGCACCAUUACGAUCUUUGUAAUGAACACGUUACGCACAAUGUAUUCAGUCUCUUGAUCUCUCUUGUCAUUUGAAUUGAUGGCAAUGUUAGGAACCGGAAUUGGCGGAAGUGGAAGAGAUGAGAUCAGUAUAGCUCAUUUACUAGUAGUGGUGACCAGUUGUUGCUUGAACGUGCUAGUUUGUCGACCCGCGAACGAGGCCGCUGUGAUGGGGUCUGUAGGUCAUUCGAAGGCCCAACUGAUGACGACGAUGACGAUCACGCGUUGCGAAUAAAAACCUGCGGAGCGUCGCGAGAGUCAUUACCUCGUGAACGAAUCUUCAUGCUUGGAAUAAAUUACGAUUUCGACGUAGAGACGUGCUGCUUCUCGUGACUUUCUGCCUAGCGAUUUAACGAACUCUCGAGGCUAUCGAUUUUCUGCGAAAUCGGUUCAUGUGGAACUGGUGAUAUUCUAUAACACUCUUUGGCACGUUUCGCCAUUUCUGGGAAACGCAUACUUGACAGCAGCCUGGUUUUGUUUCAUGAAUUUCUUUCUUAUUCUUUGCUUAAUUGUGAUAUAAAGCAUAGCAGGGACAAUUAGUUUUAAAAUUAAACAAAAAGAUAUAAAUGUAGAGAUUAUCGCGGAUUAAAAUCAAACUGUUGAAAUUCGUAUCAAUCGUGUUCAUCUGUGAUAUUCUUGUCUGAUAAAUUCGACUUAUUAAUUAGUUUUGAUAAAUACUGACGUAACCGUACCGCGAAAUCGAUACUUCGGAUCGAUUAUACAUAUAUCUGGAAUAUGCUCGUGAAUUUAUUUAAUGCUAUCGCGACAGAAGUUACAGAAUCAGAGUGAUGUUAGCUUCACUUUUUAUUUGCAUAUGCUAAUAAAUUUAUCUGACAUGAUUAACAGCGAUCAAUUUUUGGACAAUGCCAUAAGUACCAUGCAAAAUUAAUUAACUUUGGUACCAUUACGAAGUUGACAAUCUCGAUCACGAUUUUAUGUCUAGUAAUUUUGUUUGUUGCGAUAAUUAUUAAUCAAUAACCAGCUUGCGUUCUUUUCCUUCGAAGGACAUUUAAAAAAACGCAAAAUACAUAAAAUACAUAAAAUAGGACAAAAUGGUUGCAAUAAUUUAUUUUCUUAUCAGAUGGACAGUUGUAAGGUGAAUCCUUUUGACGAUACGACUGGUCGACCUUGGCACUGUGAGCAGAUUUGGCGAUGUGUAUUGACAUACGGUUGCUGGUUUCGACCGCAGUAGUAAAGGAAGUAACAUUUUAUGAAAUAUGCUAAGCGUGUUCGUCUUGCAUACCGCUAUAUUGGUCAUUGCAGAUAACUAUUCAAGGUUACUUCGUAUGCACCGUACAGAUUUUACUAUAUAUAUGCCGUAUAAUAUUAUCUCGGCUAAGCUGCAGGUAAUCACACAGUGAUAACAAAAUAAAUAUUAACUGCAUUUUUGGACAUUAGAGCUUGCUCUCUUCUUCAGCUUCGUGAACAUAAAUACGACAAUUAAGGUAUUCACUUAAUGAAAUUGAUAAUGGGACAGUAGUUUGAUAUACACGUAUGACUUGCUUAUUUUCUUUGUGCUUAGGAGCGUAGCGUAUCACACCUAUUAUUUCUCGACGUGUCUUUUAUUGUGUGUAACCUUGUUCCGCGUGACAGUUUGUAAUCUUAAUAUGAACAUAUGCUGACCAACUCUCUAAAGAUAAAAAGAACAAAAAAAUACGGACAGAUCGAAAAAAAGUAUUUUGUUUAUUAUUUUUAAAUUAAAGU